UAAAGGCUCACCAAGGCAACGAUGGGUAGCUGGUCUGAGAGGACGAUCAGCCACACUGGGACUGAGACACGGCCCAUACUCCUACGGGAGGCAGCAGUGGGGAAUCUUGCGCAAUGCGCGAAAGCGUGACGCAGCAACGCCGCGUGGGGGAAGAAGGCCUUCGGGUUGUAAACCCCUUUCAGUUGGGACGAAGCUCCGCCGGUGAAUAGCCGGCUGGAGUGACGGUACCUUCAGAAGAAGCCCCGGCUAACUACGUGCCAGCAGCCGCGGUAAUACGUAGGGGGCAAGCGUUGUCCGGAAUCAUUGGGCGUAAAGAGCGUGUAGGUGGCUCGGUAAGUCCGCUGUGAAAGUCCAGGGCUCAACCCUGGGAAUGCCGGUGGCAAACUGUCGAGCUAGAGUCCGGAAGAGGCGAGUGGAAAUUCCUGGUGUAGCGGUGAAAUG
This 441-nucleotide ribosomal RNA is filed under the name uncultured Actinomycetes bacterium. Its description in RNAcentral is "bacterial SSU rRNA". It matches the Rfam family "Bacterial small subunit ribosomal RNA", at positions 258 to 688 of the family's 1533-position model. The record is from RNAcentral. Lineage: Bacteria; Bacillati; Actinomycetota; Actinomycetes.